UAUCUUUCAGACUUGGAUACUUUUGGUAACCUCAACCCACAUAAUGUAACCGUUUUACUAAGCUGCAGGAAUGCUACAGUUGAUUGUCAUGACUUGGAUAAACACCAUCUUGCUUGUGUCUGCAUCAAGUAAUGAUAUGGUACCUUGGAUGGUUAGAAUGCAAGCAUUCUUAGUGGUGAUGGAAGCAGAUGGAUGUCAAAUAAAUGUUUGCGAAAAAUGCG
This is a long non-coding RNA of Dermacentor andersoni, 221 nucleotides long. RefSeq lists it as uncharacterized. The record is from RefSeq and is a predicted model, not a curated record. Lineage: Eukaryota; Metazoa; Arthropoda; Arachnida; Ixodida; Ixodidae.